UAUUAGAGUUUGGUUAGGAUUUGGUUUGGGAUUUAGGGUUUCGAUUAGGAUUUGAUUUAGGAUUUAGGAUUUAGAUUAGGAUUUAGUUUAGAGUUUAGGAUUUGGAUUAGGAUUGGUUUAGGAUUUAGGAUUUGGAUAGGAUUUGAUUUAGGAUUUAGGAUUUGGAUAGGAUUUGAUUUAGGAUUUAGGAUUUGAUUAGGAUUUGGUUUAAGGUUUAGAGUUUAGGAUUUGGGUAGGAUUUGGUUUAGGAUUUAGGAUUUGGAUUAGGGUUUGGUUAGGGUUUGAUUUAGGAUUUAGGAUUUGGUUUAGGGUUUGGUUAGGAUUUGAUUUAGGAUUUGGUUGGGUUUUGAUUUAGGGUUUAGGAUUUUAGUAGGAUUUAAGAUUCAAUUAGUUUUGGCCUAAAUUUUGAAUGAAGUUCAAUAGGAUUUUAACUAGAAUUAAAUUGAGAUUGAAUUGAGAUGUAUUUGAAUGACAUUUGUGUUCUUUUUAAUAUUUCUUUAAGAAUUCUUAUUGUUUGUUUGAAAUUUCUUUGAGAUUUUUUUGAAUUUGAUUAAGCUUGCUUAGCAUUAUUAUGGUCUAAUUAGAGCAUUGUUAGUAUUCUAUUAGAAUUAGGAUUUUAUUAUUGCAAUUUCCAUUCUUCCUUCCACAGUCAGGUGCCUGGAGCAUUCUCAAGCAAGACUUCACGUAUUACGACACCGCUGUUGUAUUGUAACACGACCAUAUGGUGAAAGAUAAUAAUAUGGAUCUUAUUAUAGAAGAGCCUAGUUAAAAGAUAAAGUAGAAAAAUAUGGAUAAAAGAUAGAAAGGUAGUAAAAUUUUUACUACUAAAACUGUCUUUUUAAAAAAAAUAGCUUCUACUUACUAUGUAGGACAAAAAAUAAGGCAAAAUAAGAUAGAUUGAAAAAAUAAAUGAUGUAGACAUCUUUAUGAAAAAGUUAAGAGUAAAUUCUAGCAAAAAUUAUCUAAAAAACUAAAUAUUGAUAUCCGAGGAGGAUUGAUUAUUAACCUCGGUCGAAAUCAGACCCUGAGACACAAAACCAAGUACCUACGGCAAAUCGGAGGUUUUUUUGCAAAUCAAAGAAAGGAAUUUGAUAGCAAAUUAGAUAAGGUUUCUAUAAGCAUUAGUUUUGGACAAUUUGGAGUUUUUAAGACUUUGUAAGAGCUUUUUAAAGUCAAGAUUUUUUUUGGAUGACUUGGGUUUUACAAAAUAAAAUAGGGUUGAUGUUUCUAGUGAUUUCAAGAGUUUUGUAAUAGAUCUACAAGUGAAAUUUUGUGGAUUAAUGAUCAUAGUUGUGCUUAAUAUGUAUUGUGAAUCUUACCUUGAUCUAAUAGUUGAAUUGAGGGUAAUUGAAGUUUAAGUGAGUCAAGGUCUUAGAAAGUAGAAUUUUAGGUCUAAAGAGGAUUUUUUAAAUUUCUUGCAAUCUAUUAAUUGGAUUGGAAUAAAAUUUAUGUGAGAGGAUAUAAGACUUGUUUUUCUAUAUAUAUGAGAAUUUUGAAAUCAAUCGAAUGAUGAAAAAGAAGAGAUAUUGGCUCUGGGAGAUUGGCAUCAAGGUUGGAGAAGGAGGCUGAUCAAUACCUGAGCACAUUUUUGAAGUUAUCGUCUAUUUGGUAAUUCUGAUGAUUUUCAAAUUUUUUAUGCUUAUUUUAAACUUAGUUUUUAAGAAGCGUGAAAAAUUUGAAUUAAGACCAAUAGUUCAUUUAUUAGUUAUUGAGGUUUAAAUUUGUUGUAAAAAUUACUAGGAUUUGGUUAGGAUUUGAUUUAGAGUUAGGAUUUGGUUAGGGUUUGAUUUAGGGAUUAGGGUUUGGUUAGGAUUUGAUUUAGGAUUUAGGAUUAGGCUUAGAAUUUGAUUAGGAUUUGAUUUAGGAUUAGAAUUUAGUUAAAAUUUGAUUAGGAUUUGAUUUAGGAUUAGGAUUUGGUUUAGAGUUUAGAGUUUUGUCAGGGUUUGAUUUAGGAUUAGGAUUUGAUUAAGAUUAAGUUUAAGAUUUAAUUAAGAUUUGAUUUAGGAUUUAGGAUUUAGUUUAGGGUUGAUUAGGAUUUGAUUUAGGAUUAGGAUUUGGUUAGGAUUUGGUUAGGGUUUGAUUUAGGAUUAGGAUUUGGUUUAGGAUUUAAAAUUUGGUUAGGAUUUAAGAUUUGGUUAAGAUUUGAUUUAGGAUUAGGAUUUGGUUUAGAAUUUAGGGUUUGGUUAAGGUUUGAUUUAAGAUUAGGAUUUGGUUUAGGAUUUAGGAUUUGAUUAGGGUUUUAUUUAGGAUUUAGGAUUUCAUUUAAGAUUUAGGGUUUAGUUUAGGAUUUAAGAUUUGGUUAGGAUUUGAUCAAGAUUUGAUUUAGGGUUUAGGAUUUUAUUUGAUUUUAUUUAGUAUUUAAGAUUUAAUUAAUUUUUGGCCUAAAGUUUGAAUGAAGUCCAAUAAGAUUUCAACUAAGAUUAAAUUAAUAUUGAAUUGAGAUGUAUUAGAGAUAUGUUUGUAAUUAUUCUAAUAUUUUUUUAAGUUUUCUUAUUAUUUCUUUGGAAUUCCUUUGAGGUUUCUUUGAAUUUGAAUGAAGCUUGUUUAGCAUUAUUAGUUUUUUAUUAGAAUUAGGAUUUUUUUGUUGCAAUUUCCAUUCUACCUUCCACAACCAGGUGAUUGGAGCAUUCUCAAGCAAGACUUCACGUAUUAUGAUACCGCAUUAUUGGACAAGAUAUUCUAAUUUAUUUUGGCACCGCCUUGAGUCCAAAAUUUUGUCUACUUUAAAAUAUUCAUUAUUCUCUACUUCUAUAAGAAGAGGUGGGACUUGACUUUUCAUUAGUAUGUUCACAAUUUUAUAUGGUUUAAGAAGAGACAUGUAGAAGAUAGGAUGGAUCUUCAUUGACUUUGAUAGAUGUA
RNAcentral lists this long non-coding RNA (2859 nucleotides) under Physcomitrium patens. RNAcentral's name for it is "long non-coding RNA (PPAT_LNC010830)". The record is from RNAcentral. Lineage: Eukaryota; Viridiplantae; Streptophyta; Bryopsida; Funariales; Funariaceae.